This 491-nucleotide ribosomal RNA is filed under the name uncultured bacterium. RNAcentral's name for it is "partial 16S ribosomal RNA". It matches the Rfam family "Bacterial small subunit ribosomal RNA", at positions 29 to 506 of the family's 1533-position model. The record is from RNAcentral.
AGUGAACGCUGGCGGUAGGCCUAACACAUGCAAGUCGAACGGCAGCACAGUAAGAGCUUGCUCUUACGGGUGGCGAGUGGCGGACGGGUGAGGAAUACAUCGGAAUCUACUUUUUCGUGGGGGAUAACGUAGGGAAACUUACGCUAAUACCGCAUACGACCUACGGGUGAAAGCAGGGGAUCUUCGGACCUUGCGCGAUUGAAUGAGCCGAUGUCGGAUUAGCUAGUUGGCGGGGUAAAGGCCCACCAAGGCGACGAUCCGUAGCUGGUCUGAGAGGAUGAUCAGCCACACUGGAACUGAGACACGGUCCAGACUCCUACGGGAGGCAGCAGUGGGGAAUAUUGGACAAUGGGCGCAAGCCUGAUCCAGCCAUACCGCGUGGGUGAAGAAGGCCUGCGGGUUGUAAAGCCCUUUUGUUGGGAAAGAAAAGCAGCAGGUUAAGACCCCGCUGUUCUGACGGUACCCAAAGAAUAAGCACCGGCUAACUUCGG